GACGAACGCUGGCGGCGUGCUUAACACAUGCAAGUCGAACGAUGAAGCCUAGCUUGCUAGGUGGAUUAGUGGCGAACGGGUGAGUAAUACGUGAGUAACCUACCUUUAACUCUGGGAUAAGCCUGGGAAACUGGGUCUAAUACCGGAUACGACCAAUCUCCGCAUGGGGUGUUGGUGGAAAGCGUUAUGUAGUGGUUAUAGAUGGGCUCACGGCCUAUCAGCUUGUUGGUGAGGUAACGGCUCACCAAGGCGACGACGGGUAGCCGGCCUGAGAGGGUGACCGGCCACACUGGGACUGAGACACGGCCCAGACUCCUACGGGAGGCAGCAGUGGGGAAUAUUGCACAAUGGGCGCAAGCCUGAUGCAGCGACGCCGCGUGAGGGAUGACGGCCUUCGGGUUGUAAACCUCUGUUAGCAGGGAAGAAGAGAAAUUGACGGUACCUGCAGAGAAAGCGCCGGCUAACUACGUGCCAGCAGCCGCGGUAAUACGUAGGGCGCGAGCGUUGUCCGGAAUUAUUGGGCGUAAAGAGCUUGUAGGCGGUUUGUCGCGUCUGCUGUGAAAGGCCGGGGCUUAACCCCGUGUAUUGCAGUGGGUACGGGCAGACUAGAGUGCAGUAGGGGAGACUGGAACUCCUGGUGUAGCGGUGGAAUGCGCAGAUAUCAGAAGAACACCGAUGGCGAAGGCAGGUCUCUGGGCUGUAACUGACGCUGAGAAGCGAAAGCAUGGGGAGCGAACAGG
This 740-nucleotide ribosomal RNA is filed under the name Rothia mucilaginosa. Its description in RNAcentral is "bacterial SSU rRNA". It matches the Rfam family "Bacterial small subunit ribosomal RNA", at positions 28 to 776 of the family's 1533-position model. Lineage: Bacteria; Bacillati; Actinomycetota; Actinomycetes; Micrococcales; Micrococcaceae. The record is from RNAcentral.